AAAUUAUAAAUAUGAAUCCAGGCUCGGACUGGUCAUCUGUACAACCGUGCAAAUGCCCGGUGGGCCGGUCCACAUGUGGGCCGGUGACCUCCGGAAUUUUUUU
Long non-coding RNA from Alosa sapidissima (American shad), 103 nucleotides. RefSeq lists it as uncharacterized. NCBI's taxonomy places the organism in Eukaryota, Metazoa, Chordata, Actinopteri, Clupeiformes, Clupeidae. The transcript has 3 exons. The record is from RefSeq and is a predicted model, not a curated record.